This is a long non-coding RNA of Bombyx mori (domestic silkworm), 1068 nucleotides long. RefSeq lists it as uncharacterized. The transcript has 2 exons. The record is from RefSeq and is a predicted model, not a curated record. Lineage: Eukaryota; Metazoa; Arthropoda; Insecta; Lepidoptera; Bombycidae.
UUUAACAUUCAGCUUUCGUAUAGACAACGCCUCUUUCUCAGUACGUUUUCUAAGCUGCUCUUUAAUGACAAUUUUCUUCACUUUAAAAUUUGUUUUAGUAACAUUUGUUCCUUUAGGAAGAUCCUUUUUGGCUUUCAGUUUAGUCUUUGCCUUUUCAGACUUAAGAAAUUUUUGGUAACGAGUUGCACCCGUUUGUGGCAUGGUUUUCUUAAUUAAAAGGUUAAUAUAAUAAAAAUAACAAACAAGUUAACCGUAAGUGGUAUUGAUUAGGCAGCAGUUUAAACUUCACUGAUCCCACUCAGCUAGUCUUACUCAAAGUUGCACACCGUUCAAUGGUUUUAUCGAAAUAUAAUAUUGAAACUUAACAAAAAUUAAGUAAACAAUAACGUUGAACACGACGGAUCGUAAACAACAUAACCUAAAAGAUUUUUUUUAUCGGCCAUUGCAAAAUUGCAAGGCAUUAGGAACAUACUUCAUAACAAUUUUUCUAAAACCCAGAAAAUGAAGUGAAAUAUCUGAGUAACAACCAAUAGAUUUUGUAUGAGAUUAAAUCAAAUGAAAUAAACUCAUAGUUAAAUGGUGAGAAUUUCAUGAGUUCAAUAGACUUAGAAAACAUGCAGAUUUUGAUUCAAGUUCCUAAACUUGUCCACAGUCACGGAUACUAAAGCGAUUUGAAUUCCGUACUAGAGAUCAAGGCAUGGACUUCCUUGGAAUUGAUUUUUUUACUUUUAUCUAAUAUAUAAAAUUCUCGUGUCACGGUGUGCGUGAUUGAACUCCUCCGAAACGGCUCGACCGAUUUUCGUGAUCUUAGCGUGCAUAUCGGCCAGGGUGGAGAAUCGGACAACAUCUAUUUUUCAUCCCCCUAAAUGUUAAGGGUGGUCCACCCUUAAAUUUAAUUUUUUAUUUUUUAGCCAAAAUGCUUUGUUUUUAUUUUUUUAUGAUACAGCAUACAAAAAUACAUAUAACCCUAAAUUUUCACCCUUCUACGAUCAACCCCUAUUUUUUAUUUGUUAAUUAUAAACUUUAAUUUUUUUGGCAAUUUUUUUAUUAUUAAAAAAUUUCAUAUUA